UAAUAAGUGUUUUAUGCACUUUUUAAAUCCAUAUCCACCUUGUGUGCAAUGUCAGUCGAUCUUCUUCAUGGAGAUCGACCAAACAUCAACCUUUAUCUUUUAACUCUUUGUCUGAAGAAUAUUAUGAAUAAACAAUUCAAAAUA
This 144-nucleotide unclassified non-coding RNA is filed under the name soil metagenome. RNAcentral's name for it is "partial internal transcribed spacer 1". The record is from RNAcentral.